This 1868-nucleotide long non-coding RNA is filed under the name Homo sapiens (human). Its description in RNAcentral is "HSALNT0061315". Lineage: Eukaryota; Metazoa; Chordata; Mammalia; Primates; Hominidae. The record is from RNAcentral.
UUUUCAUGUGGCUCUUCAAACAGGGUCCACUGAUUUAGUGUCAAUAUCCUCACCAACAAGCUAUGAUAAAUACUGUAGAGGAGUUUCACUGAUCAGCUCCCUACAUCAUCUAUCAAAAGAAGCUGAGAACAGGGCAGAAAAUGCACACUUACAGAAAGUUAACACAAUCUGAUAUAAGUAGGUCACUCCUCUUGGUCUGGCUUGAUGGGUUUUUACUGUUUUCAUCGGAGCAGCCAUUAGAAGGGUGCACACCUGAUGAAUUUCACAAAUCAGGAGAUGGGGGCAGCAUGGGCAGAUGGAAGGGCCCUGUGGAAAGCAAAGAGGUCACUAUUUUUCAUCAUCCACAUUCCUCAGGAAAGAAAACUCAUCCAUCACUGGCAGCAAACACUGGCAUAAAAAGUCUAACCUGCUCAGGUGAUUGAGACAACCUCAGGCUUUCCACGGUAUCCAGAGGGCACCAUAUAUAUGAAAUAUAUUUUCUUUUUGAGGAAGAUUUAAUUUUUUUCUAGGUUUUGAUUCACAAAACACAAUUAGGAGCUUAUUUGUGUUAAUUCCAACUACAACUGAACACUGAAGCUGAAUGGUGUCAGAAAAUGAAAUGAUCUUCCAUCAAGAUUAAAUAUGUGUGUCCUGAAAGACUGUUUUUCAAAAGUAGACUUAUUCUAACAAGAAAUUGAUUUGGAUGUACAAGUAUACUAUUAUUCAAAUAACUUUCAAACAUAACAGGGCUUAGAGAAAAAUGCCAUUUUCUACCUCAACAGAGCAUGUAAUGGUUUGUCACUGCACGUAAAGUUUAAUUUGCACAAAAACUCAAUAUGUCUUCCUGAAGCCCUCCCUCUCUGAGACCCAGGCGGGGCUAUCUGGACCUCCUUUCUCACUUCUGUCGGCCUGUGAAGUUUUAGGAAUGAAUGAAUACGACACAGUCUAUUACCAGCUGCACUGUUUCCAACUCCACUUAAACUACAAGGAAGAUUAAAGACGGUAUUUGGAAGGAAAUUCCCAAACCACAUGGGCAUCACCACAGUUAGGAACUAAGUCAGUGCUAGCCAGAGAGAGAGAGGAGCACCUGGGGCAGGUGGCCAUGAGGACAUCCAGACUGGGAGACCAACAUGUGCCAACGCCAGAGGUUGCAGAGCCGUGAGAGCAGGUGCAUGUUAGGGAGAGGAUCCUGGAAGCACCCCAGGGCCAGGAAAUGGGGCUGGUGCCAGGGGCAGGGGUCAGAUCUCAAAGGUCUCUCCUCACGUGUCCUGGAAAGAAGUUUGGGUUUUCUUUCUCCUGAAGGUGAUGGAAGACACACCAGUGAAGGAUUUUGAGCAGGGCAGUGACACUGACCAUCAGAAAGCCUGGAAGAGCAUAUCCCCAGACAGAAGCAUGGAUCUAAGAUACCAACAGCAUCCCACACUCCGUUUGACUUUUGUUCACAUACAUUUCAGUGCUGAGUUCCUGCACCAUCCCUGCACUCCUCUUCAUUAACCUCCUGCCCCCAUCAACAGCAUAAGUGGAUUAUUUCAAAGCAAACCCUAAGCCUACUGAACUCUCAAAGGCAAUGGAGGACUCUGAAGGCCAAGCUCAGCUAAAUGUUUUUGCUUCUUGCCUCUUUCCUUUUUAAUUACAGUGUAAUUUGCAUUUAUGUGAUUUCCUUCUGCCAUUGGGUUGUGGACAGCAUUGAUGAUGAUCGACAUUCCAUAACUUCCCAUCAUAGCUGGAGAGCAGAAGGAUGGCCGCCGUCUCAGAUAAAAUUCUAUCCAAUUAAACAGUUCAAUGAACACGUCAUGGUUUGAGGUUCUCAUUAUCCUCUGUGUGCAUGUCUCAUGGAUAUUUCUUUACACCCAUCAUCGUAAUAAGGUCUUAGUGCAGAAGAUGCUCCA